RNAcentral lists this unclassified non-coding RNA (283 nucleotides) under plant metagenome. Its description in RNAcentral is "partial contains small subunit ribosomal RNA, internal transcribed spacer 1, and 5.8S ribosomal RNA". The stretch from base 235 to 283 matches the Rfam family "5.8S ribosomal RNA", at positions 1 to 49 of the family's 154-position model. The record is from RNAcentral.
UUUCCGUAGGUGAACCUGCGGAAGGAUCAUUAUUGUAUAACCGAGGUGCGAGGGCUGUCGCUGUCCCGAAAGGUCGUGCACGCCCGAGUGCCCUCACACACAUCCAUCUCACCCCUAUGUGCACCACCGCGUGGGUCCCCCUUUGGCUUGUUCGGAGGGGGGCUUACGUUUUCACACAAACUUUGUAUGCAGUGUAGAAUGUAUUUUUUGUUUUUGCGAUCACGCAAUCAAUACAACUUUCAACAACGGAUCUCUUGGCUCUCGCAUCGAUGAAGAACGCAAC